This is a long non-coding RNA of Sinocyclocheilus grahami, 829 nucleotides long. RefSeq lists it as uncharacterized. The record is from RefSeq and is a predicted model, not a curated record. NCBI's taxonomy places the organism in Eukaryota, Metazoa, Chordata, Actinopteri, Cypriniformes, Cyprinidae. The transcript has 3 exons.
CAGGAGCGUCUGCCAACAGUGCCUUUAUCAGGAAUGUACAACAAAUCUGGCGGAAAAGUACGACUCACAUUUAAACUGGAGCAGGAUCAGUUGUGGAUCGGAACAAAAGAAAGAACAGAAAAAAUCCCGAUGGGUUCCAUCAAAAAUGUUGUGACUGAGCCAAUAGAGGGUCAUGAGGACUAUCAUAUGAUGGCAUUUCAGCUGGGUCCGACAGAAGCCUCACAAUAUUGGGUCUACUGGGUGCCUGCACAGUUUGUUGAUGCAAUCAAAGACACAGUUCUCGGAAAAUGGCAGUAUUUUUAACGUGCCUCUAUAGACACUGAAGAAUUGGGAUUCAGAGCAAAAGAUUGAUAACAUUAACUGGAGCCAACACAAUAAUCUGAAGAACCGAUUUUUCUGAAGUAUUUCCAGAGCAAACCGAAGGAUUGCUGUUGGACAAAAUAUUUUGGGGGUUUUAAGUGCACUAAGUGUCAGCAUCCCGUUUUUCAAACUGUUUCAUCACUCGUUUUUUUUUUGUUGUUUUUUUUAAAGCAAUCCCAAGCAUAAACAGAAAAUUGUACAGAACUUGCAUAUACAUUUCUCGUAGUUAUUCUGAAAGAAAUAAAAAUUAUUUAAGGAAAAUGAUUGAUGCAGUAGAAAGAUUUUAUCUAGUAUAUUCCUUGGUUUACCAUACAACUCAAGCAAUCUUGCCAAAGUCGAUAUAGUUCACGCCGUUGUUAGUUUUACAGUCAGCUUUUAUGAUUGCACAGAUUAUAGUUUACAUGUAAAGCAGCAGCAAUGUAACACUCAAAUAUGGUAUUAAUCAAGGUUAAAAGAGCAUUGUGGCAUU